Molecule: unclassified non-coding RNA, 170 nt
Filed under: uncultured fungus
Lineage: Eukaryota; Fungi
Description: sequence contains ITS1
Source: RNAcentral
AAGGGAACGCUGGUCCAACCAGCACCCUCCAACCCACUGUGUACCCGCCUUGUUGCCUCGGCGUGCCUGCGCCUUCCAUGACGCUGCCGGCCCCGGCUGGAUAGCGCACGCCAGAGGAAUCUCAAACUCCAGCUUUAACGAGUGACGUCUGAGCCUUGAUAAAUACGUUA